UACUCCAAAUCUCUCAUCACCAGCAAUCACUAAAUCUACUCAGGCAUCGUCACCGGAUAUUAUAUAUAUCGGUAAGAGAUGCGACUUGCUUGGUUUUAGAAAACGUGGUGUAGUUGCUCGUGGUCAAGUACAUGAAGUUAAUCCAAAUGCAACUGUCCAUUGCGAACCGUUGGAGGAUGGAGCUUUUGUUGUUGUCUUGACUGAGGUUAUACAACCUGGCGUUCCUUUGUGAAAAGAAGAUGGGUUCGCAUCUAUACUUGGAGAGGCCAGUCCAGGAUCGUUUGUGCAAUGAGGGAAAGAGGCUUUAAGAAUUCAAUAAUUUGAAUAAAUUUGGUACUCUAUAAUUGAACAUGUGUAGUGUGCAUGUUUUUUUUUAGUUACUUUAUAUGAUGUUUAGCUUGUUUGUUUCUUAA
Long non-coding RNA from Magnolia sinica, 413 nucleotides. RefSeq lists it as uncharacterized. The transcript has 2 exons. Lineage: Eukaryota; Viridiplantae; Streptophyta; Magnoliopsida; Magnoliales; Magnoliaceae. The record is from RefSeq and is a predicted model, not a curated record.